RNAcentral lists this non-coding RNA (25 nucleotides) under Cricetulus griseus (Chinese hamster). Lineage: Eukaryota; Metazoa; Chordata; Mammalia; Rodentia; Cricetidae. The record is from RNAcentral.
UCUUUGGAAGAGAAAAUUAAGUUGG